RNAcentral lists this ribosomal RNA (253 nucleotides) under uncultured bacterium. RNAcentral's name for it is "partial 16S ribosomal RNA". It matches the Rfam family "Bacterial small subunit ribosomal RNA", at positions 524 to 776 of the family's 1533-position model. The record is from RNAcentral.
UACGAAGGGGACUAGCGUUGUUCGGAAUUACUGGGCGUAAAGCGCACGUAGGCGGUCUUUUAAGUCGGGGGUGAAAUCCUGGAGCUCAACUCCAGAACUGCCUUCGAUACUGGAAGACUUGAGUCCGGGAGAGGUGAGUGGAACUGCGAGUGUAGAGGUGAAAUUCGUAGAUAUUCGCAAGAACACCAGUGGCGAAGGCGGCUCACUGGCCCGGUACUGACGCUGAGGUGCGAAAGCGUGGGGAGCAAACAGG